RNAcentral lists this long non-coding RNA (220 nucleotides) under Daucus carota (carrot). RNAcentral describes it as "long non-coding RNA (DCAR_LNC006344)". Lineage: Eukaryota; Viridiplantae; Streptophyta; Magnoliopsida; Apiales; Apiaceae. The record is from RNAcentral.
GGACGGGGGCGCGGCACGGACUUUAAUGCUUCAAUAUAAUAUAGUUAUGUAAAUUAUUUUUAAGAUUUUCUUUUUUUGUAUAAAAGUAUAACAUAUAUAUUUUUAUACAAAAAAAGAAAAUCUGAAAAAAAAGUUGUAAAACUAUGUUUUAUAAGAGCCUUAAAAAACGUGUCGAGCAGUGAAAAAGAAACGUAUACAAUUGACUGGGACAGAGGGAGUA